AGCGAACGCUGGCGGCAGGCUUAACACAUGCAAGUCGAGCGGGCGUAGCAAUACGUCAGCGGCAGACGGGUGAGUAACGCGUGGGAACAUACCUUUUGGUUCGGAACAACACAGGGAAACUUGUGCUAAUACCGGAUAAGCCCUUACGGGGAAAGAUUUAUCGCCGAAAGAUUGGCCCGCGUCUGAUUAGCUAGUUGGUGAGGUAACGGCUCACCAAGGCGACGAUCAGUAGCUGGUCUGAGAGGAUGAUCAGCCACAUUGGGACUGAGACACGGCCCAAACUCCUACGGGAGGCAG
RNAcentral lists this ribosomal RNA (297 nucleotides) under uncultured Pseudomonadota bacterium. RNAcentral describes it as "uncultured proteobacterium partial 16S ribosomal RNA". It matches the Rfam family "Bacterial small subunit ribosomal RNA", at positions 29 to 351 of the family's 1533-position model. Lineage: Bacteria; Pseudomonadati; Pseudomonadota. The record is from RNAcentral.